RNAcentral lists this ribosomal RNA (467 nucleotides) under uncultured bacterium. RNAcentral's name for it is "partial 16S ribosomal RNA". It matches the Rfam family "Bacterial small subunit ribosomal RNA", at positions 29 to 507 of the family's 1533-position model. The record is from RNAcentral.
ACGAACGCUGGCGGCGUGCUUAACCCAUGCCAGUCGAACGGAAAGGCCCUGCUUUUGUGGGGUGCUCGAGUGGCGAACGGGUGAGUAACACGUGAGUAACCUGCCCUUGACUUUGGGAUAACUUCAGGAAACUGGGGCUAAUACCGGAUAGGAGCUCCUGCUGCAUGGUGGGGGUUGGAAAGUUUCGGCGGUUGGGGAUGGACUCGCGGCUUAUCAGCUUGUUGGUGGGGUAGUGGCUUACCAAGGCUUUGACGGGUAGCCGGCCUGAGAGGGUGACCGGCCACAUUGGGACUGAGAUACGGCCCAGACUCCUACGGGAGGCAGCAGUGGGGAAUAUUGCACAAUGGGCGGAAGCCUGAUGCAGCAACACCGCGUGCGGGAUGACGGCCUUCGGGUUGUAAACCGCUUUCGCCUGUGACGAAGCGUGAGUGACGGUAAUGGGUAAAGAAGCACCGGCUAACUACGUG